RNAcentral lists this ribosomal RNA (390 nucleotides) under uncultured bacterium. Its description in RNAcentral is "bacterial SSU rRNA". It matches the Rfam family "Bacterial small subunit ribosomal RNA", at positions 28 to 418 of the family's 1533-position model. The record is from RNAcentral.
GACGAACGCUGGCGGCGUGCUUAACACAUGCAAGUCGAGCGGUAAGGCCCUUUCGGGGGUACACGAGCGGCGAACGGGUGAGUAACACGUGGGUGACCUGCCCUCAGCUCUGGGAUAAGCCUGGGAAACUGGGUCUAAUACUGGGAUAUGACUCCACGGUGCAUGUCGUGGGGUGGAAAGCCUUGUGCGGCUGAGGAUGGGCCCGCGGCCUAUCAGCUUGUUGGUGGGGUGANGGGCCUACCAAGGCGACGACGGGUAGCCGGCCUGAGAGGCGACCGGCCACACUGGGACUGAGACACGGCCCAGACUCCUACGGGAGGCAGCAGUGGGGAAUCUUGCGCAAUGGGCGAAAGCCUGACGCAGCGACGCCGCGUGAGGGAUGACGGCCUC